Molecule: ribosomal RNA, 460 nt
Filed under: uncultured bacterium
Lineage: Bacteria
Description: partial 16S ribosomal RNA
Rfam family: Bacterial small subunit ribosomal RNA
Source: RNAcentral
CCUACGGGGGGCAGCAGUGAGGAAUAUUGGUCAAUGGGAGGAAUCCUGAACCAGCCAUGCCGCGUGCAGGACGACGGCUCUACGAGUUGUAAACUGCUUUUGUACGGGAGUAAAAUGCUCUACGAGUAGGGUUUUGAAAGUACGGUACGAAUAAGGAUCGGCUAACUCCGUGCCAGCAGCCGCGGUAAUACGGAGGAUCCGAGCGUUAUCCGGAUUUAUUGGGUUUAAAGGGUGCGUAGGUUGUUUUAUAAGUUAGCGGUGAAAUACCGAUGCUCAACCUCGGGGCUGCCGCUAAUACUGUAGGACUAGAGAUCGGAUGCAGCAGGCGGAAUGUGUAGUGUAGCGGUGAAAUGCAUAGAUAUUACACAGAACACCGAUUGCGAAGGCAGCUUGCUAGGCCGGAUCUGACACUGAUGCACGAAAGCGUGGGUAGCAAACAGGAUUAGAUACCCUUGUAGUC